This 255-nucleotide ribosomal RNA is filed under the name uncultured bacterium. RNAcentral's name for it is "partial 16S ribosomal RNA". It matches the Rfam family "Bacterial small subunit ribosomal RNA", at positions 524 to 776 of the family's 1533-position model. The record is from RNAcentral.
UACGUAGGGUGCGAGCGUUUAAUCGGAAUUACUGGGCGUAAAGCGUGCGCAGGCGGUUCGUUGUGUCGGUGGUGAAAGCCCCGGGCUCAACCUGGGAAUGGCCAUGGAAACUGGCGAACUGGAGUGUGGCAGAGGGGGGGUGGAAUUCCGCGUGUAGCAGUGAAAUGCGUAGAGAUGCGGAGGAACACCGAUGGCGAAGGCAGCCCCCUGGGCUAGCACUGACGCUCAGGCACGAAAGCGUGGGGAGCAAACAGG